This 25-nucleotide microRNA is filed under the name Mus musculus (house mouse). Its description in RNAcentral is "mmu-miR-3547-5p". Lineage: Eukaryota; Metazoa; Chordata; Mammalia; Rodentia; Muridae. The record is from miRBase by way of RNAcentral.
GUGGGAAGAGGGGUGGGGCCCGGGA